This 918-nucleotide ribosomal RNA is filed under the name uncultured archaeon. Its description in RNAcentral is "bacterial SSU rRNA". It matches the Rfam family "Archaeal small subunit ribosomal RNA", at positions 1 to 922 of the family's 1478-position model. The record is from RNAcentral.
UUCCGGUUGAUCCCGCCAGAGGUUACUGCUAUCGGUGUUCGCCUAAGCCAUGCGAGUCAUAUGUAGCAAUACAUGGCGUACUGCUCAGUAACACGUGGAUAACCUGCCCUUGGGACCGGCAUAACCCCGGGAAACUGGGGAUAAUUCCGGAUAACGCAUAUUUGCUGGAAUGCUUUAUGCGUCAAAAGGAUUCGUCUGCCCAAGGAUGGGUCUGCGGCCUAUCAGGUAGUAGUGGGUGUAAUGUACCUACUAGCCAGCGACGGGUACGGGUUGUGAGAGCAAGAGCCCGGAGAUGGAUUCUGAGACAUGAAUCCAGGCCCUACGGGGCGCAGCAGGCGCGAAAACUUUACAAUGCGGGAAACCGUGAUAAGGGGACACCGAGUGCCAGCAUCAUAUGCUGGCUGUCCGGAUGUGUAAAAUACAUCCGUUAGCAAGGGCCGGGCAAGACCGGUGCCAGCCGCCGCGGUAACACCGGCGGCCCGAGUGGUGAUCGUGAUUAUUGGGUCUAAAGGGUCCGUAGCCGGUUUGGUCAGUCCUCCGGGAAAUCUGAUAGCUCAACUAUUAGGCUUUCGGGGGAUACUGCCAGACUUGGAACCGGGAGAGGUAAGAGGUACUACAGGGGUAGGAGUGAAAUCUUGUAAUCCCUGUGGGACCACCUGUGGCGAAGGCGUCUUACCAGAACGGGUUCGACGGUGAGGGACGAAAGCUGGGGGCACGAACCGGAUUAGAUACCCGGGUAGUCCCAGCCGUAAACGAUGCUCGCUAGGUGUCAGGCAUGGCGCGACCGUGUCUGGUGCCGCAGGGAAGCCGUGAAGCGAGCCACCUGGGAAGUACGGCCGCAAGGCUGAAACUUAAAGGAAUUGGCGGGGGAGCACAACAACGGGUGGAGCCUGCGGUUUAAUUGGAUUCAACGCCGGA